GGUAAAGAUGACUAGAAUGCCCUAUGAAAAC
This 31-nucleotide non-coding RNA is filed under the name Mus musculus (house mouse). The record is from RNAcentral. Lineage: Eukaryota; Metazoa; Chordata; Mammalia; Rodentia; Muridae.